RNAcentral lists this long non-coding RNA (4978 nucleotides) under Ostreococcus sp. 'lucimarinus'. RNAcentral describes it as "long non-coding RNA (OLUC_LNC000044)". Lineage: Eukaryota; Viridiplantae; Chlorophyta; Mamiellophyceae; Mamiellales; Bathycoccaceae. The record is from RNAcentral.
GUCGCCGGAAAUGCCGCGAAUCUCGUCGCCGACUUUCGUGAUGGCGCGCGCGCUGUACGCGCCUCUUGCCCAGUUGUUCCCGCCUUGAGUACGUUUGAGGUAGCCCUGUUUGCCGUCCGUCGUCAUGCCCUGCGAAAGUCCGACCCACUCGAUGAGAUCCAAGUCGUUCGCACCCUCGUGGACAGUCUGUAUCCAGGAGACUCGAGAGAAAGACGCGCCUGCAGUGUUGAAGCGCGCGGUGGCGUAGAGCGGGAAGGCAGGCGCCUCAUCAGACGUCGCAAACGCCGCGCCAUCCUUGUAGUACGUGACGACGCCCGAGUCGAGCACGACCACUUGGAACGUCUCACCGACGAAGUAAUCGCCAAAGUCGCCGUCGCGCACGACGCCGUGUUCGGAGAUGCGGAUCACGCCGUUGUCGCACACAAUGCCGAAGUCGACCACCUCGUCGACGGAGUUCGUCGAGCCAGAGUUCAAGCCAAUCAUCAUGGACUUGUCCGUUUGGUCGCAAUCCGCGGAGACGCCACGCACUUCGUCGCCGAUCUUCGUGAUGGCACGUUUGCUCGUGGCGCCGACGUUCCAGCCACUGCCUGCCAUUGUGCGCGUCACUUGGCCCGCGGAAGACUCGACGCCUUCCGCGUCUUCAAACUCCAUGGCCGCCAAGUCGUUCGCGCCCUUGACAACCUUGUGAACCCAGCGCGCGUUGGCCAGCUCUGCGAGGUGGUUGUGAAACGACGUGUCCGCGUAGAGCGGGAAAGAAGGCGACGUCAAGCUCGUGUACUUGAGAUCGCCGUCGACGUAGAACUCAAUCGCGCCCGCGUCGUUCACGAUCACUUGGAAAGUCUCACCCGCGACGAAGACGCCGGCAUCGAACUUGUUCACGCCCUUCUCUUGGAAUCGGACCUGAUUGCCGUUGCAGAACACGGCGUAGUCGAUGGUCGUUUGGCUGUGGCCCGAGGGCGUGCUCGACAAGCCAAACUGCAAGUGCCUGUUGUCGGUGCGCAUGCAGUCGCCGGAAAUGCCGCGAAUCUCGUCGCCGACUUUCGUGAUGGCGCGCGCGCUGUACGCGCCUCUUGCCCAGUUGUUCCCGCCUUGAGUACGUUUGAGGUAGCCCUGUUUGCCGUCCGUCGUCAUGCCCUGCGAAAGUCCGACCCACUCGAUGAGAUCCAAGUCGUUCGCACCCUCGUGGACAGUCUGUAUCCAGGAGACUCGAGAGAAAGACGCGCCUGCAGUGUUGAAGCGCGCGGUGGCGUAGAGCGGGAAGGCAGGCGCCUCAUCAGACGUCGCAAACGCCGCGCCAUCCUUGUAGUACGUGACGACGCCCGAGUCGAGCACGACCACUUGGAACGUCUCACCGACGAAGUAAUCGCCAAAGUCGCCGUCGCGCACGACGCCGUGUUCGGAGAUGCGGAUCACGCCGUUGUCGCACACAAUGCCGAAGUCGACCACCUCGUCGACGGAGUUCGUCGAGCCAGAGUUCAAGCCAAUCAUCAUGGACUUGUCCGUUUGGUCGCAAUCCGCGGAGACGCCACGCACUUCGUCGCCGAUCUUCGUGAUGGCACGUUUGCUCGUGGCGCCGACGUUCCAGCCACUGCCUGCCAUUGUGCGCGUCACUUGGCCCGCGGAAGACUCGACGCCUUCCGCGUCUUCAAACUCCAUGGCCGCCAAGUCGUUCGCGCCCUUGACAACCUUGUGAACCCAGCGCGCGUUGGCCAGCUCUGCGAGGUGGUUGUGAAACGACGUGUCCGCGUAGAGCGGGAAAGAAGGCGACGUCAAGCUCGUGUACUUGAGAUCGCCGUCGACGUAGAACUCAAUCGCGCCCGCGUCGUUCACGAUCACUUGGAAAGUCUCACCCGCGACGAAGACGCCGGCAUCGAACUUGUUCACGCCCUUCUCUUGGAAUCGGACCUGAUUGCCGUUGCAGAACACGGCGUAGUCGAUGGUCGUUUGGCUGUGGCCCGAGGGCGUGCUCGACAAGCCAAACUGCAAGUGCCUGUUGUCGGUGCGCAUGCAGUCGCCGGAAAUGCCGCGAACCUCGUCGCCGACUUUCGUGAUGGCGCGCGCGCUGUACGCACCUCUUGCCCAGUUGUUCCCGCCUUGAGUACGUUUGAGGUAGCCCUGUUUGCCGUCCGUCGUCAUGCCCUGCGAAAGUCCGACCCACUCGAUGAGAUCGAGAUCCCGUGAACCUUUAUGAACAACUUUUAUCCACUUCACAUUUUCGAGGUGUCCUCCACCUUCAUCAACGUAUCCAUCGGCAAACAAUGGGAAGAUCGGUUCUCUGCUACUAUUGUAGACAGAAUGUCCUUCUUUAUAAUAGUGAACGAUACCCUCGUCAUUAAAUGCGACCUGGAACGUUUCUCCCGCGAGGUAUGUUCCGAUCGUGGCCAUAAGCUCACCGUCUUCGUAAACUUCCAUUGUUCCGGCAUUGCAACCAACGGCAUACUCAAUAGCAUCGCCAUCCGAGGGUGUGUAAUGAGCGCUGCUCAAACCGAAUAUCAUUUUCGUUGUUGUGUCACUGCAAUCCGCAGAAAUACCGCGAACUUCGUCAUAAAUUUUAGUUACGGCGCGUUUACUUGUCGAGCGCACAAUGUCCAUUUUUUCAGGUGUAACCGGCAAGUACACGUCGCCGUGUGACACUUCACAUCGCUGGACUGUUUCAAAGUCCAUCAUGUUUAGCCAAUGCAUGUGGCUUAGCUUCGCACCUUCGGUGAAGAUUCGAGCCUGGGAGUAAAGAGGGAAUUCAACACUUUUAGUGCUGACAUGAAGAACAUUACCAUUUUGCAGAUACUCGAUGACACCAUGCUCGUUGAUGACGAUAGAAAAUGUCUCUCCAGGGCUGUACGCCGAAGGAGGCUCGACAAUGCGCUCGUGCCUUUGGAAGGCUGACGCAUUGUGUUGGUCAUUUAUGUAUUCGGGUGAAUCACUAUCCAAUGAAUCAAGUGCCAAGUCUGGCGAAGUACCAAGAUGUGUUGAAGGCGGUGGACCUUGAGCAUCGUUCUCCGGGGUCGGGACUUGAAGUUGGCCUUCAAUCCCAUGUGGUGUAUUCGGCUCGGGACGUCGAUGUGGCUCGAUUGUUUUGAUGACAACUCCAUCUUCAAGGAGACGCAACGUUCCGGCAUCACAGUAUAUCGCAAAGGACAGGUUCGUCUGCGCCGGAGCAGUAGCGGUUUCAUUCGCAGCGGUUUCAUUCAACUGAGCAUCUUGAUCACCUUGCACCAUGAGUCCAAACAUCAUCUGUGACUUGUUGUCGGAACAAUCGGCAGACACGCCUUUUUUGGUGUCAUUCCAACCGCGAAUUGAUGAACGACUCGUUGCGAAAGCAAGUAAUGAAGCUUCUUCGAUGCGUUUUGCCGCCUCUUCACUCAACACGUGAGCGAGAGAUCCAGGUGUAAGAGUCGCAUUCUCAGGUAGAAGGAACUCAACAGGCUCAAGGUCAUCGGCACCUUCAAUGAUUCGGUAAACCCAGCGCGCGUUGGCCAGCUCUGCGAGGUGGUUGUGAAACGACGUGUCGGCGUAGAGCGGGAAAGAAGGCGACGUCAAGCUCGUGUACUUGAGAUCGCCGUCGACGUAGAACUCAAUCGCGCCCGCGUCGUUCACGAUCACUUGGAAAGUCUCACCCGCGACGAAGACGCCGGCAUCGAACUUGUUCACGCCCUUCUCUUGGAAUCGGACCUGAUUGCCGUUGCAGAACACGGCGUAGUCGAUGGUCGUUUGGCUGUGGCCCGAGGGCGUGCUCGACAAGCCAAACUGCAAGUGCCUGUUGUCGGUGCGCAUGCAGUCGCCGGAAAUGCCGCGAAUCUCGUCGCCGACUUUCGUGAUGGCGCGCGCGCUGUACGCGCCUCUUGCCCAGUUGUUCCCGCCUUGAGUACGUUUGAGGUAGCCCUGUUUGCCGUCCGUCGUCAUGCCCUGCGAAAGUCCGACCCACUCGAUGAGAUCCAAGUCGUUCGCACCCUCGUGGACAGUCUGUAUCCAGGAGACUCGAGAGAAAGACGCGCCUGCAGUGUUGAAGCGCGCGGUGGCGUAGAGCGGGAAGGCAGGCGCCUCAUCAGACGUCGCAAACGCCGCGCCAUCCUUGUAGUACGUGACGACGCCCGAGUCGAGCACGACCACUUGGAACGUCUCACCGACGAAGUAAUCGCCAAAGUCGCCGUCGCGCACGACGCCGUGUUCGGAGAUGCGGAUCACGCCGUUGUCGCACACAAUGCCGAAGUCGACCACCUCGUCGACGGAGUUCGUCGAGCCAGAGUUCAAGCCAAUCAUCAUGGACUUGUCCGUUUGGUCGCAAUCCGCGGAGACGCCACGCACUUCGUCGCCGAUCUUCGUGAUGGCACGUUUGCUCGUGGCGCCGACGUUCCAGCCACUGCCUGCCAUUGUGCGCGUCACUUGGCCCGCGGAAGACUCGACGCCUUCCGCGUCUUCAAACUCCAUGGCCGCCAAGUCGUUCGCGCCCUUGACAACCUUGUGAACCCAGCGCGCGUUGGCCAGCUCUGCGAGGUGGUUGUGAAACGACGUGUCCGCGUAGAGCGGGAAAGAAGGCGACGUCAAGCUCGUGUACUUGAGAUCGCCGUCGACGUAGAACUCAAUCGCGCCCGCGUCGUUCACGAUCACUUGGAAAGUCUCACCCGCGACGAAGACGCCGGCAUCGAACUUGUUCACGCCCUUCUCUUGGAAUCGGACCUGAUUGCCGUUGCAGAACACGGCGUAGUCGAUGGUCGUUUGGCUGUGGCCCGAGGGCGUGCUCGACAAGCCAAACUGCAAGUGCCUGUUGUCGGUGCGCAUGCAGUCGCCGGAAAUGCCGCGAAUCUCGUCGCCGACUUUCGUGAUGGCGCGCGCGCUGUACGCGCCUCUUGCCCAGUUGUUCCCGCCUUGAGUACGUUUGAGGUAGCCCUGUUUGCCGUCCGUCGUCAUGCCCUGCGAAAGUCCGACCCACUCGAUGAGAUCCAAGUCGUUCGCACCCUCGUGGACAGUCUGUAUCCAGGAG